GAAUGUUUCUAUUUCCAUAGUUAUGGUUUCCCUUUCACAUGGAUUAGAAAAAAAAUACAACUUAGCACAUCAAACUACUGAUUUCAUAGGUCUUAUUUAUUGCCUAGGAUGUGGCUUCUAAAAAAACCAAAUUCAUUGUAAAUUGAUUUAUGUAAAAAUAAUGUAUAAGGGUUGUAUAUGUAAAUGGUUUAAAAAAAUGAAGCGUUUCUAGAAUGACUAGUUUGAGAAACAGUGAUGUAAGCCAUUCUUUCCUAGAGUUGACUACACUGCCCACCAUUUAGCGUGGACCCGACAGAAGCAGUUAAAACCAUUUACUGUGUCUUCUGCCGCUGAAAAGGAAGAGCAGGGAAGAAAUCUUCAAGAUGAUCUCAACUCCUUUGUUAGGUUCAACCGAUGUCUGCUAAAAACGUGUGGCGUCUGGAGAGGUGGGAGCUCCAGAGCUGGAGAAGGAAGGAGAAUAAGAGAAGCCUCCUGGAAACUUUGCUGGGUUACGCUUUGGAAAACGUGGCUUAUACUAAUGGCCCAACCUAUGUGCGUUUGUAGCAAGCCUGCUCUCCACCCAAACAAACAUCACAGAAAUUAACCAGUAUCAUCCGGUGAGGCGCAAGCUGCAUGGCUGUGCGGUACAGUAUAAUACUUUACCUCUUUCCAGAGAAAGAGUUUGGAAUUUUGGUCCUGCCUCCACCCAUUUCAGAUUAAAAAGGCUGACAACAGCAGCUCCUGUGAGGAUGUGGGGAAAUGAGAACCGACUUCAUGACUGCUGGGAAUGUAAAGCUGUAGAAACACUUUAGGAAAAAGUCCUGACAGUUUCUCAUAAAGUUUAUACACUUACCAGACGAUCCAGAAGUUUCACUCCUAGGUGUGCACGUAAAAGAAAUGAAAACAUACAUCCACAAAAAGAAUUAUACAGAAAUGUUUAUUGCAGUUUUAUUUAUAACAACAACAACAACAACAGAACCCUGGAAGCAGCCCAGACGUUCACCAGAUAGUGAAUGGAUAAAGAAAUUGUGAUAUAUCCAUUCCGUGGAUAUAAAGCCAUAAAAAGAAACAAAAACUACUUUUUACGGGCAUCAGCAUGGCUGUAUCUCAAAAACAUUAUGAUGUGUGGAAGGAAAUAGAGUAAAUGGUAUCCAUGAAAUUCUACAGCCGACAAAACCAGUCUAGAGUGACAGUUCAGUGGUUGCCUGGGGCUGAAGGUAGACAUGGAGGACUUUUUGCCUUUUUUUUUUUUUUGUGGUACGCGGGCCUCUCACUGCCGUGGCCUCU
Non-coding RNA from Delphinapterus leucas (beluga whale), 1266 nucleotides. The record is from RefSeq and is a predicted model, not a curated record. Lineage: Eukaryota; Metazoa; Chordata; Mammalia; Artiodactyla; Monodontidae.